Molecule: long non-coding RNA, 26516 nt
Organism: Gasterosteus aculeatus aculeatus (three-spined stickleback)
Lineage: Eukaryota; Metazoa; Chordata; Actinopteri; Perciformes; Gasterosteidae
Source: Ensembl
GUUACUGUCGAACAAAGAGGCACUUUUAAAUCAAACUUCAAACGUCAUUAUCAUAUCCGGUGCACCUGGGCCUUUGUGAGCCAUGACGAAGACUUUUAUCAGAGGCAAAAGACAAAACCUUCCACCGCUGCUAAUCUGUAUUUCCUUAUCUGCCCCUCCUCAAACCACAAUCGUAUGCUAACAUCAGCUGCUUUCUACUUCACACUCCAUCUAUAGGGAGAACGGCAGAUAACAUUAGUGCAUGGCUAUCGUUAGCGCUAUACUAACACCCAUUAGACUAUUAAUAGCGGUAUGCUAACAGUCAAACUUGAAUAGAAUUUGUUUUAAAUAGAAAAAAAGCAAACACAAAACCUGAUGACUGAUGAAAUGAAAGUAUACCCUAAAGCUAUGGGGUGUAGAGAUAUGUGCAAAUGUGCAAUGUAGUGUUGACAUUGUUGACAUUUUUAUUAUAUACUAUAUAUACUGUACAUACCAUUUAUAUAUAUAUAUAUAUAUAUUCACUAUUUGUAUUCAAAUUGUGAACUAAUCUGUCAUUAUUCUAAAUAGAGUAUACCUUACUUUGGAAAAGGCAUAUCCUUUAGCCAUGUCAGGGAGACUUUCAAAGCUCUUGUGGUACUCCUUAAGCUAUUAAAUGGUUCUGGUUUGAUCUGAGACUCCACUGCAUACAGGGAUGCGGGUCAUAGGGAACAUUCAAAAGUCUUUGACUUAUAGUGGUAGCAGCUCAAACAAAUCCACACAGGGAACAGGAAAAAUCCCCGAACCAGAGAAAAAGACAAUCAGCAUAUGAAAUGUAAAAUGCUGAAUAGAUGGAAAACAAGGUUUGCACGGUAGAGGAACAGGUAAAACAGCAGAGUAUACAACAGAGAAGAGAAAUGGCCCAGUACCACGUUUCAAGCUACCAAUAGUAAGCAAAGAUCGCUAUUUAGUAUUAGCAUUUGUUUUGGUCUGCGUGACGUCAUUUUUUUUAUCGAUGGCACUUGAUUGACCUAUUGGACACCCCUGCCUUAGUGACAAGGGCAGCGGCGGAGCCAACGGAAUGUCAGUGGAUGUCGUGUGUACAGAAUGAUAGCCGCAGGUAUCCCAGAAGAGCAGAGACUGCUUUAUUCCAGCUUCCCGAGAAAGGGAACUGGAUAAAAUGUGUCCAGACGGUCAGGUCCAUUCCACAAACAGACGUGAAGACAGGCGGACAAAUCUGUUAUGGCUCUGGCUGGAAGUGUGGGAAAAUCCUCUCUCGCUGUCAAUAUUCAUAUUUGUGAUCAUAUAUGUUUUUCUGUUUGAAUAAUGCUAACUGCUGGAACAUUUUAAUGCAAGUUACAAAUAACAGUUUUACAUUCCCCCACCCUCUUUAGCUGAAAUACUGCAAUUGAGGCUGUCAGGGGUUCCGUAUUGUAUUUCGCCUCACUCUGUAUAUGUUUACAGCUAAUGCUCUCUUCUUCACUGGGCUUAUUUCUCAGGGCCUUAAAACAGAGUGCAUUUGUACGUUGAGCAAGUAUACCAUUAUCUGUCUCAACUAACCAACUCAAGUAUCCAUAUACAUAGUUUAAUCCGGCAGCUUAAGUCCGAAAUCGACACAGUUAUAUUAUAAAUCAACGAAUCUUUGAUGAUGCCAGCCAGUAGAUGCAAAUAGGAGCCGUCUGGGAACAAGGCUUUGUAGACAGGCGCUAAAAGAAGGCAUUUCAGACCAAAGGUCCCUACAGGUGUACGCAGGCAGAUAGUAUAAAGAAAUUAUGUAUUUAUUUAAACAUGCACACAUGUUCAAAUUGCAACCCUAAAUACUACAAAAUGUCAAGAAUUAUAAACUUUCAUGCAGCAAAAAAUUCAAAGCGGUAACCACUCCACCUUGCCCUCUACUCACAGAGCAAAGGCUGGUUGUAAAAAAACAAUGAAGAGAGAGCUGACACACUUGCGUGUGUUUGCUGUGUGCUAAGUGAGUGUGAUGGCUGCAUUUAGCAAGAGCAGGGUGAUUAUGGUGAUGUAUUACCAGGAGCUGUUAUGGUUGGAGCUGACAGCUCAGGCCAAACAUUUUCACACAGACCUAUCUGGGGGGGUCAGGGGGGAGGAGUGGAGACGCUGUCAGGUUUGUUUAAGCUGAAGGAGCUUUGUUGCACUCUUUCAUAAUCUUUCUCUGUCUUUAUAGCCUCCUCUCCUCGGCUCGCUGGUUCUCUCUUUCCGUCUGGGUUUUCCUUCUCUGAGCCGUGUCUGUCCCUCUUUCCCUCCACACAGCUUCGACCUAGGUGGGCUGGGGACCCGGUUCUGCUCCUCUCCUUUUUUAUCCCUUUUCUUUCCCUUUCUUCUAUUUCAGGUGCAGACACAUAAUUAUGGGCCCGUACGGGGCUCAAAGUCAGUCUCCAGCCCCCCCAACAACGUGCUGCCUUUUAACUUUGUCCACUCAUGUGUUUGUUUGCUCUGUUCAUGUUUCAGUGUGUGUGUAUGUGCGUGUCAACACGUGCAGCCGUGUGUCUGGAUGAAUGUGCACCAUGCACCAUGCACCAUGUGUGUGCAAGUUGGCUUCCAGUGGCUGAGAGUGUGUCUCUUCUCUUUAUUUCUCAGCCUCUAAAUAAUAAUAAGAGCAGAAGAAAGGGAAGAGGAAACCAAACACACAAACAAAGACACAAUCACCUGGAAUGAAAGACACACUUCUGGAACACAGACAGGAUGCCUAAUAAACAAAUAGCCGUGUUUAGAGAGACUUUACAGAACGUCUCGUCUACUAAAACGCACUCACCCAGUAGGUAGGUGGUACUAACUCAUGGAGGGACAACACAGAUUAUGUCAGAAUCUUUAGUAAAUACAAAUAUUUUUCUCCACCCCCUGUGUGAGAAGUUUUCCUGCUCAAAUUCAACCAUCACAAGUUCUCUGUGCUUACAGGCCUUCUGGACAUGUUUGCAUACUAGUUUUUGUAAACGAGAUUUUCUUGCUUAAGCACUAAAUGUGAAUGAAGACUAAAGCAUCAACAUCUUAGCUUUUCCCUGCACAUAUUUCAACGUAUAACACAUAUUCUGCUUUGCAUUUUUGGCAACACAAGCCUGUACAUAUUAAAAAAAAAAAGAAUUGAAGGCCAAAUCAGGCUGUGCAUUUGCCCUCUGAAUAGAACUCAAGCACGCUAAUGUCUGAGAAUUUUGCAAACAACAUGAAGAGAAUGAAGGAGGGGACCAGUAAUGACAUUGACUGCAAUGUGGAUGAGAUGCUAUAACCCAUCUCUUAACAGAAGUCAGGAUCCAUAAACCAUCGAAAUUCCUUAACAAUACUCACUAUAUGUUUACCAUUGCAUUUGACUUUUUACUAUUAUUGUUUUGGUUUUACAGUAACAUGGUGUAUUGAAUACUAGGCUGUAAUAGUUUCUUUUUGAUUUGUAUUUUUUGUCAAAACAUAUACUUAGAUGUAAGAUAAAUAAGAUAUCGGUACAGAAACAUGUGUACUGAAUCUUGUGUGAACAAAAUUUUUAAUUCAUACUACAAACAGCAGUGUUUUUAUAGAGUGCAUCAGUGUACUAUUUAUGCUUUGAAAGAGUUAUUUGUGUGGGGAAUUCUGCAAAAACGCUUUGUGAAGUUUCAUGUUGACUGCUGGCGAAGUGGCCAAUUCUGAAUGUAUGGCAGAAAAGUUUAGGGAAGAAGUGAUGGGCUCUAUUUCAAGUGCAAAUAUUCAGUCUUGGUGAUUUAAUUGAUGUGAUGAUGGAAGGGGGGUUAUGCGCGGGGAUGGAGACGAAUGGGAGUCAUCAAUGCUGUGUCAGAAUUAGUGAGUGAUUUUACUUUUACAAAUAAAAGUUAAGAAAUAACUGUAUAGUUCCUAUUCAGUGGUUGAGGACAUCAAACAUGAUCAUUGUCACCACAUAAUUAGUAAGGUUAACUGGCUAGAUUUAUUCUACAAGAUACCACUGCUGACUGUAUGUUAUAGUGUAGUCGUAUUCAGAGAACUACUGCACAAACCCAACCAUCUGAUGGUGAUCACGAGGAAUGCAAAUAUUCCAGAAAAAAAACAGUAUGUGGACCAUGUGACAUCUUUGCCCAAUGAGUGUUUUAGCGCCUAGCAUUUAAAGUAUAGACAAUACAAAUACACACUAUAUGUCACUUUCCACUCUCUCUCACACUUUUCCCUGGUGUAUUUUGAGCUUUCUGAUCUUUCUGAUCGUAGCUCGCUAAUGUUUGUGGUUCUUUGUAAAGAAACAAGACAAGCCUCCUCUAGUUUGAUGUGGUGUUAAGAGUGCUCCACUGCGAAACCACCAUCUGAAAUUAGAUUAUCAUUUCACUUUGGAAUAAUGCCCUUCUCAUUCACCAGGGGAGGCCAGGGCCACACACACUUUUGUGCAACUGUCCAACAUGAUUCUUCUGGAACAAUUUUGCUCGGUCGGUUGUAGGAAUUGAGGAAUUUUUCCUUAUUUGUAUCUAAACAUUUGCAAACAGUUGUUAGCACAUUUGUACCAUAAUGAAGAUACUGGAGUCUUUCAUAAUUCUGUUGGUCAACCACUUUGAUCGAGAUGGAAUUAACUGUGCGAAUGUUGGCAAAUGUGCUUUGCAGCACAGUAGUUGUGGUAUAUUAAUAUUGGUUAAUUCUAAAACUCAUGAUUCAGCAAUUGUAUUUGUUUUCAGCAUAUUCUGUUGUAAAAGCCAUUCCACUACAUUUGUAUCGUGCAUAAUGAAACUGCCUUUUCUGUUGAUUUAUUUGUGAUGAUGUAAUGAUGACGUCAGGGGGCGUCGGCUAUUUAAAUGUCACCUGAGUAAGGCCAGGUGUGUUUUCUAUUUCGAGAGCGGAAGGAGAUACUAUUUUUGACCGCAUUACGCAUUACGCAUUACGCAUUACGCAUUGAAUUCUCCGUUUGUUUUGAGUGUGAUUUAGGUUGUUUUUGCCGAACAAUGAAUAAAGAUUAUUGAAGUGACAAUACGAGCAAAUGCGCGUUGAUUUUACCGACCGCUCUGUCAUUAUAGUGCAUUAACUUCAAGCAUUUUUUCAAGCCCUCCAAGGCAAAUUUGUAAUUUGCGAUUUUGGGCUGUAUAAAAUAAAAUGAAAAUAGAAACAUAUAAACUGAUUUUUACACAUUAGAAUACUCAGGGGCUCCACUUUAUCCCCACAGACAAAAUAUUGCACAGAUAAACUAAGUGGUUACAGAGUUAUUUUUAUCAUGGGCAUGUAAGUAAGCAGACCUCUCUGAUCAAACAUUAAACUGAGGAACAAUAGCACAUAUCUCUAGGUCUGUUGUAAAUGCUACUGGCAUAACAUUGUGUAAGGAAAUAUAAAUGAAUGUUUGACCUCAAUAAAAGCUGCUAUGUCAUAAGUCAUCUAGCAGGUAUUUGCCCCAGUGGAUUAAUCUUAUGCAGGAAGAACACAGUGAACCAAUUUAGCUGCCACAUCAAUUGUUAUGUCCGGGGUGAUAAAAAUACAGUUCAUACAGAUAGAAGAGCCGCUGUCAACUACAAAGAAAUACAUGUGUGGAAGGGCUGCCAAUGAUCUGUCAACCAGUGUCAGGAUAAAUUAUCUCUUAUUUUAAAGGUCUCAAUGUGAGAAACCACAAACAUCAGUUGGUGCAUGUGUGUGUGUGAGACACAGAGAGGGAAAGCAGAAGAGAGAUUAAUUAUAUAGUUGUUGUCCUGCCCCAGGCUCAAAUCGUGCUCUCACACGCAACACUGCUGACUGCCUGGUUGAGGAGGAUUCAGAAAAUCAGUUUUGGUUAGUCAUUCCGCAAUCGUCAUGUAUUCGAAAAACAGUUUAAUAUUUCAAAUCCUGCAUUGUUUACAUCCAUAAGCCUGUCAAGAGAUCAAGAGAUCAAACACUUUCUCAUGCAUUAUAGCAACCUGGCUACUAUUAGGGCUGCAACAACGAAUUGAUAAAAUUGCUAAUAACAACAAUCGAUAGAAUUCAUUUAUCAAAAGAGUAUUAUUACGGCCCUCAAAUUGUCGCAGAGAUGUUUGAGGAUAAAAAAAAUAGUUGAGCUGAACGUGGAGCAGAACGUUGAGUGUGAGAAUUUGUGAGUGGGUGAGUCUUCACGGACUGGUUUGAUGAGGUUUGGCGACAGGAGAGGGGCUGGGCAGGGAAUGGGGGUUGUAGUUGUCGCGGACGGCAACAAAAGCGCUUGGCUGACAUUUGGGAAAUGUGUCAAGAGGGACAAGCGCAUGGUACUGUCUGUUCUGUUUUUUUUUAUACAGGUUUGGAAAUAACUGCUUUUUAGUUUUCGUUAACCUUUUUGUUAUUGUUAUUUUACAUCCGCAUCAUGCAGAAACUUCAUUCAACUCUGACCUGCUCGUUGGUCGUGGUGUUCUGGCAGUGUAUCAGCUGCUAUUGGGUUGGUAGGUUGUCAUGCCAAGAUGCUCUGUGGGAAAACUAAUAUCAAAUUUUCAAUGGGUCCAGAUGUUGGGAAAAAAGGAAAAUGAGAAGAAAAGGGGAAGAGACAGAGUUUGUACAGCGUAUGAGAGUAAAAGAGCUAGAGACGGGAAACGAUGAGACGGAAACAUCUGAGUGUGUUCCUUGGAACGAUUCCCGCAGCAGUGGUUAAGACAAUAAGAAAAGGGAGACAGCACAGCGUCAGACUGUCUUUCAAACAGUAAACCAGCUGAUCCAGGUCUGGGUUCAAGUUUUACAAGGCCAACAACAAAAUGGUUCCUUUAUGCAAGAAAACACAAAACGGAGAAGGUACACUAGAUCUACUCAAUUCAGGUCUACUUUUGCAAAGACACUCGAUAUUUGGCGGUAUUUUUGCCAUGUACCCAGCAUAAUUUAAAGUUCCUGUGGAACCCUUUCAAAUUUCAGGCCAGUCCCUCCAAUAUUUUAAUUCUAUUUGGAUGACUAAGCAGCACACCAUUUAUUUCCUCUGCCAACCUUCUCUGCCAGGCCAGCGCAAGAAGAAACUUGAUUGGGUGCAAACUGUGAACAAAAAAAAUCCUCUUUAGACGAUGAGAAAGAAUAGAUCUGAAUCAAAGCAGUUUGUUAUUCACGGGGUUAUUUUUCUCAACAUUCAAGGAUAAGACUUGCUUUAAGGUACGGGUACCCCUGCAGGACAUGAAUGUAAGCCAGUGUCAUGUUUCCAAAAGUCUCUGUGCGUUUGUGUAUGCAAAAUAGACAACUUAGAAAGAAACAGGGUUACCAGUAAAAACGUACACGAAUCCACGCAAACCAACUACAGCCUUGUGAAGCAGACGUACAAGAGAGUGGCGGUGGAAACCUGUGGUGGGGAACAUAGUUGGCUCAGAAGCUUGGAAGACAGUGCUGCACAACCCAACCAGUCCAAGUCAGGGAGGAGAGGGAGCACCCUCAGGGCAAAUACCAGGCUGGAGAUAUUUCUGCCCAAACCUGACAACCUCUGAGGGAUUGAUGUGCCAGGAUUAGGGGAAGCUAGAUUUCACACAUAAUUGCUCGGGUUUGGAUUCGGCUCAACAACCUUGUUGAAAAAUACUAUAAGUCAUUUAGCAGUCAAAAGCCAGCAAUUUAAUGUUUUGUUCAUGACUUGUGCUCAGGUCUUUUCUGACUGGAGUCAGGCUAGGAAACUGGAAUGGAAUAUUACUUUUUGAAACAUCUACCACCCACAUAACCUACACAAAGAUAUCUGAACAAUAUUUACAACAACAACUUUAGUGAAAUGGAUAUAAAAUAGAGGCACAGCAUUGAUCCCACUUUUUCAGUCCGCUUAGAGAUGCACAGACUUUGGGUAUCGGCCGAAUAAUCAAAUAUUAUUGUUGAAAAAAAUAAACUUUGAGGAAGUGAUUGGGAUUGUUCUGUCGGUAAGAUAAUAUCAGGCUUUUGCAGCUUUUCAAAACAAAGAAUCAAUGGAUAUCAAUAAAAAUUGGCAUUGUUCUAGCUCAAUCUCAACCCCUCCGCCACAGUUGCACCAUCCCAACCAGUGUGUGAAAUACACACUCGCAGAGGGAAGGGCCUGUCAAAUAUGAAUUAGUCAAUUAUAAUAUUAUAAUACACCACAAGUACAGUUAUCGUCUUCAUCUUCAAGACAAAUCGUCCACAUCGAUGGUUGUUCUCUAAUUUGUUUCUGCCGUGUGACCACGUGCCAUGACCAGGCCUGGGUCGGCUUGAUUUUAAGGGGGACUGGAGGCGUCGGGGACACGAGUUUCGGAGCGGGGACCGGAGGCCAGGAGCUCGAGGCAGGCGAGCUGAUAGCUCCUGGGACCAAAUACGGAGUUUGUUUUGCGCUGCCAGAACGGGCUCCUCACAUCAAGGUAGUCGGGUCCGUAAUCUGGCAGCGGGUCCGCUGAGUCCCUUCGUGGUCGCGUCAUUCUGUCAGGGGAUGCGGGGAAGGCAGGACUCAAAUGCAGAGUUUAAGCAAAAAAUACUUUAAUAGUCAUAAACAUAAAACACAAAAUGGCCAAGGCUGGCAGGAACUAGAGACAUCCAGGACAAUAGACAAUGACGCGACAAGUGACAAGAGACACACACGGCUUAAAUACACUAGGGAGGUGCAGGUGAUUGGACACAGGUGGAAACAAUCAGACAAUCACAGGGGAUGAAGCAGAAACUACAAAAUAAGGCAGGAAAUAAAACCGCACCGUGACAGGUCGCUGCUGCCGCACCACAGCCAUGUACGUCACUCCACUAUAUUCCAAAUGUGGUAACUCUUGUCAUUUGUUGCCAACAUUUGCCAAAAUUCCCAAAGUUAAGGCUUCAAAGCGGAAGUCCAAAUACCAAUUAAUGACAUCACAGUGACUACGUCCUACGCCCGUGCGGCUUAACCACUAUAAAAAGAAAGUUUUGCUGCAGAGCUUAACAUAGCAUUUUAUUUGAUUUACGUUUGGUUUGUUUGUUCAGUCAAGCCCCAUUGAUAGAACGGAAAGAGAACAUUUUCUUGCAGAAAGAUGUGUGAAGAGGGUGAAAAAAUGAGUGACCCGAUGAUUUACCAUUCAAAUGCUUCACCAAACACUAAGAAAAUAUUGAAAUGCACCACCCAGGAGUACAAGGUUUACUCAGUUUGCUUGACACUCCAUCUUAACAGUACGGUGCAUGCCAGUGGUUUAGGUUCAACUUGAAAUGGAAUACCGGAUUCAUAAAACAGUGGACUUAAGAAUGGUGUGGAGGAUUUGGGGAACAGAAAAAUGGCUGAUGUAUACAUCAUGUAGGUGGUCUGCUUCAGUGUGACUAGUUUUGGGCUAAUGGUCCACGGCGCCAAAAGAACACUUAAAGCCCAGGAAGAGUGCCACGGAGGAAUGCACAUGGCCUGUUUGAGUCUGCAGAGCCGUACACAUGGAAGUGAGCUUAUUCAGAAUGUUUGGGGAAUCAGUAUAUCAUUAAAAAGAGUUAAGAAAUGACUAAAUAAAAGUUAAGAACUUAACAUUUUUGAUAGUUGGAUAGUUCACAGUUGGACCAUCUGCCUCCUAUGUACUCUUUAUACUGUUACCAUUGUUAUCAGUGAAACAUUCCAGGUUCAUCAUCUUAGCAGGGAAAGAAGUCCUAAGACAACCAAUAAAGAAAAUAUCAGUACAGUCUAAGAAUAGUACAUUCAUGUGAAAUGAAGCCCAGCUUUGAUUUGUUGUCAUAUAAACAAAAGAAAAAAAACAUUCACACAGGAUUAUUCUCUUUGCAGGCAUUUGAGUGAGUGACCACUGCGGCCAUACUUGGCGUAGUAACUAGGCACACACUUUUCUAUCUGGACCAUAUUUAGGCCAGUAGAUUCCUGACCCAUUAGUUUUGAAUGGAAACCUAGAUUCUCAGGGAUUUCAGUAAGUUUGAAAAAGAGUAGUUAGAAAAAGGUUUUUAACCCUCCCGGCGUGCUCACUUCCUAGUACGUAUCAUACGAGUCAGGCCGUGGCGCCUUUGCAAAACACUGAAUAGGCUCAUGCUGGGAAGUGUGGAGGUGCUCAGCCCCUGCAGAUGUAUUUGACGCACCUGUAGCACACAUGUGUUUUACAGUCCUUGUUUAUGAGGCAGAUCUGACACCUCUUCUUCUUACUUCCCCUGUCUGGAGCGGCACCAGCGGCCUGACCGAAGGCCACAGAGGCUUUCAAGGCACCGUACUACUCAUUUUUUGAGGGAUUUUCAAGGAUGCUUACCCCAACGAUUUCACGUACACUGUCGCCACCCUCCCACCAUGCAUCCUGUUACCGUGGUAACCCUUAUUCCCUUGAAGGGAACAUAGCCCACUUGCCAUGGUGAAUGAUGUCCCUGAGAGUCCCCUAAACUAACACGUUUUGAAUUCAUCAAACAAUUUUUAGUAUUUUAUUAGAAUAUGGAAAGCAGAAGAUAGGCAGAACUUAGAAAGUACACUUAAAUAUCAAUUUUUUAAUCACAAUUAAUAUUAUUAGAGAUAUUCAGCGUAUUUUAUUCAUAUGGUUAAGCCUUAGUAAUUAUCCACUAUAGUUUAAUCUCAGACAAGUUAAUCUCAGGUUCUACUCUACUUUGUAUUCAAAUAAACACAUGAAAAUGACAUGCUUCCCCGCUUAAGGCUGUUACUAACUAUGACUAUACCUUAGCACUAAGUUUAAGUGCCCAGACCACGGGCUGGACUUACAAAUGUGUGGCAAACUUCAAACAUUUUUUAAAGGAACUGCAACACAAUGUUUCUUAAUUUCUUAACCAACAUCCAAUAUAGAUGGAGUAGUUAUUCAAAUGAGGCAGUGCUAUAGAAAUGAAAAGCUCCUAAGGCAUUAAGAUCCAUUUGCAGGUGUAAUUUAUCCCUACGGAGAACAUUUUUUUCCUCUUUCUUUCUCAGCACUAACAGACCCAACGGUGACAAAUUAAUUCUACUUUCCCUCUCAGAGUUACAUAUCCUUUAUGUUUCAUGUGCAGCUAACCUUAAAAAAAGGCUGCUUUCUUUCUGGCAGCAUUGUGGCAUUCUACAUAAUGUCAAAUCAAGAUCAAACUACACACAAAGAGCACAUUCCACAUUAGAGGUGUUUCAGUGAGAUUAUUGUUAGUCAUCUAUUAGACAUCCCAGGUUGAACAAAGCACAGGAGGCACGCCAGAGACAGCAUCAUUAGCAAACAUAAAUGAUCUUGAAGCGGACAUUGACCCAAGCGGGAAAACUUCACCGGUUGAAGUGCAUUAAAAAUAUAAGGGAACGAGACAUGCAUUCUCUGCCCAGGAGACUACAGGUCACACAACAUAUUUAUGUUAAUCAUGUAUUAUUACAUAAGGCAUGGUUAGUGCCCUUUGAAGAAAUUUAGAGCAACACUAUGAGAGCAAUAACGUGUUCUUAUAUCGGUACCUAGUGUGUUGGUUUUUCUCUAUUCUAAUGAGAACUUUAGUGCUAUUAGACAAAUUAGUUUGUGUUAUCCCAGGAAGACUGCCAUGGAAUAUAUGAGGCCAGUAAGCUUUUGACACUAUUCGAUGUUGUGUUGUUCCGAGAGAUGGAAAUGAAUGGUAUUGUGUAAAUGUCAGCGGCGGAGGUUUUAAAAAAAUGUGUUGCCAACAACGCCACCUAGGUAAGCGCUAAGAGCCUGAGGAACUCAAAAUAAAUAAUUAAAAACAAGGUUUGUUUGUUUUGGGGAGAGCAGUGGAACAAUGACCCAAGAGGAGACAGGGGCGGAAAUACUAAUAAAAAAUGAUUUAUUUUAAUACAAUUAUUCAAAUAUAUAGGAAAGCUAAAAUAGUCUGUUCAAAUUUAUUACCGCAACAGAGCGAAGUCCUCUUCUGCUGUUCUGCUGCAGCUGCUAUGUUUGCUUCUGCGUCUGCUGCUGCUACUGCUGCUGCUGCUGCUGCUGUUGUUGUUGUUGUUGCUGUGGUGUGCUUUUCCCCCAUUUCUUUUUCCUUCAGUGUCCCGUCUUCCUGUUUAAAAAGACAAGUCCCACCCCUGGCCUUUCCCCAUUGGUCCAUUGACCAUAUGCCACUAAUCGGUAGCUUGUCACUGGGGACGAUUGUUAAUUGAUGGAGGAUUCAAAGCAAACCAAAACUCAAAACACAAUAAAUCGUUAAUCAUCAAACAUGCAAACAAUCAUAAAUCAAUAUAUCAUAAUAAAACAUGCAAUCAUAAAUCAUAAAAUAUGCAAUCAAUAAAACAUGCAAUUGUCCUCAAUCGUCCACCCUGUGACAUAAAAGCUAAGUAGGCAUCUGGAUGCAGUGAGUACCAGUGUUCAGUUUAACUAUAUCUAAAGACAGAUAGGCGUCUAGCUUCUCUGAAUGUUUAUAAGGCAGACGUACAGUAGGUAGAAGUGAACCGACUGAAGAAGGAGGCCUUCCGGGUUAUGAUAUCCAGUGGGACUCCGGAGGCAGUUGCAGUGUACCGACAGGCUCGAAGGGCAGCAGCCUCUGCCGUGAUGGAGGCAAAGCAGCGAAUAUGUCAGGAGUUCGGGGUAACUAUGGAGAUGGACUUUCGGUCGGCACCAAAGUGCUUAUGGAAGACCAUCCGACACCUCAGGAGGGGGAAACGAGGAAGCAUCCAAGCUGUGUACAGUAAGGAUGGGACCCUGUGGAGGUUAUCAGGCGCUGGAAGGAACACUUUGAGGAACUCCUGAAUCCAACUACUUCGCCCUCUUUGGUAGAGCCGGAGCUGGAGGCGGAGGAGGGAUCAUUGUCAAUUUGCCUGGUGGAGGUCACUGAGGUAGUCAAACAACUCUGCAGUGGCAAAGCCCCGGGGAUUGAUGAGAUCCGUCCAGAGAUGCUAAAAGAAAUGGGUGUUGGGGGGCUAUCUCGGAUGACACGUCUCUUCAACAUUGCAUGGAAGUCUGAGACAGUGCCUAAAGAGUGGCAGACCGGGGUGGUGGUACCCCGCUUCAAAAAGGGGGACCAGAGAGUGUGUGCCAAUCACAGGGGUAUCACAGCCUCCCGGGUAAAGUCUACUCCAAGGUGCUGGAAAGGAGGGUUCGGCCGAUAGUCGAACCAAGGAUUGAAGAGGAAUAAUGCGGUUUUCGUCCUGGUCGUGGAACGACUAACCAGCUCUAUACCAUGGCCAUGGUUCUCAGCAGGAAACCGGUGGAUUGCCUACUCCAGGUAGGGAAUGCGUCCUUACCCCAAGUGAAGGAGUUCAAGUACCUCGGGGUCUUGUUCACGAGUGAGGGGAAGAUGGAGUGUGAGUUUGGCCGGAGAAUCGGAGCAGCGGGGAGCGGUAUUGCACUUGCUUUACCGCAUCGUUGUGACGAAAAGAGAGCUGAGCCGGAAGGCUGUGAAGAAUUGCAAUGGAUCUGAAGACCUGACCGGCGGUAUACCGGUUGAACCAUUUAUAUUCCAUAAUAGAUGCUUACUCCAUGCUGCCGGGUUCUGGGAGACCAGGCAAUAUAGUCCUAAUUUUUCAUUGGUCCAUUGGUCUGGGAAUAAUACCCAGACGAGAGGCUGGCAAUGGCCCCAACCAGCGAGCAAAAACCCUUCCAAUAUUGUGACGUGAGCUGUGGUCAAUGGUCGGAAACAAUAUAUUUAAGGCGGGUAUGUAGCAGAAAGCCAUACGAUUCCCACACUGUGGAUGCUUUGUUUUGUUUUUCAUUUUUUUUCACAUUUCUAUUUUUCACAUUUUUGGUGGGGUAUUUUACAAUAAUACUGAAGCUGAAGGGAAUUUUUUUAACAAUCAAAAACAUUUACUUCUCUUUCCAUCUUUGAAAUAAAAUUCAAACUGGCAACACGAAAAUGAACUAACUAAGACUGCAUACAUCCGUGAGUCAGUCAAUGUAACAAGAGAAACUAAAAUCAAAAACACUCAGCCAAAGCCUGCAAGUUGAAAACGUUUUUCUGGCUAAAGUGGUCCCAUCCACCAUUCAGUGACCACAAUGAACCUGAGAAAUGCUCCUCAGCAUCUGGCGAGUGAGAAUUACAGUACCUUUCUCCAGUGUCCCCGGGGCUCAGGGCUCCAGUAAUGAUCAGUCCCUGCCAAACACAAAUGAGAUUCUUUAACAGAACGGUGCUGGACAAAACCCCCCAGAGCACACGCAAACCCAGAGCAACAAUAAAUAUUAUGGUUGUUGAAUCUCUGCUGGACACCAAACUGACCGCUGGAAGUAAUACAGAAGUAACUCAGCACCCACGAUGUCUGUCUGAGUGUUCAUGUGUGUGUGAGAAUGUGGUGCAUAAGCGCAGCAAUUGCUAAAACAGCCAUCGUGGUCCAGUUCCAAAACGUGAAUAAUAAGACUUGGGUUGUGAAAUAUAUCCUGUUAACACAUAUACGUUCUGCUCCAAUCUGCCUCCAAAGUGUGAUUAUCUCUCUUUUAAAUGCAAUUCAACCGACCUGAGUGGGGAGCACGGCCGUCCUCCAAUCAGAGGGUUGGCGGUUCAGUCCCAGGCCCGGCUAAUCCGCAUGUUGAUGUGUCCUUGGGCAAGACACUUUACCCCAACAUUGGUUCUGUAGCUGCGACUGCAGUGCGUGAAUGUUAGUUACUGAUGGGCAGGUGGCUCUGAGUAUGGUAGCUCCUGUCAUCAGUGUGUGAAUGGGUGAAUGGUGUCAUGUAGUGUUAAAGUCCUUUGAGCGGUCGGAAGACUAGAAAGGCGCUAUACAGUCCAAAGUACAGUCCAUUUACCAUUUCUUUUUGCUGAGUCUGUAGGAGUCCUAACUGUGUUACUUAAUAAUAUUGAUUGGGAUAAAAAGAAAUACAAUUGUAAGAACUCUAUUACUUGCAAGCCAGUGCACUUUAGUGUAUGAUAAAGCUGCACAAAUACAGUGCCUUGCGAAAGUAUUCGGCCCCCUUGAACUUUUCGACCUUUUGCCACAUUUCAGGCUUCAAACAUAAAGAUAUAAAACUGUAAUUUUUUGUGAAUAAUCAACAAGUGGGACACAAUCAUGAAGUGGAACGAAAUUUAUUGGAUAUUUCAAACUUUUUUAACAAAUAAAAAACUGAAAAAUUGGGCGUGCAAAAUUAUUCAGCCCCCUCAAGUUAAUACUUUGUAGCGCCACCUUUUGCUGCGAUUACAGCUGUAAGUCGCUUGGGGUAUGUCUCUAUCAGUUUUGCACAUCGAGAGACUGGAAUUUUUGCCCAUUCCUCCUUGCAAAACAGCUCGAGCUCAGUGAGGUUGGAUGGAGAGCGUUUGUGAACAGCAGUUUUCAGUUCUUUCCACAGAUUCUCGAUUGGAUUCAGGCACUGUAAAUAUUCCAGUACAUACAGUUCAUAAAACUGGUAUAGGUUCCUGGUUCCUGGCAUGUUGUUUUUGUCAGGCUACAAUGGCGGACCCAAAUGCACAACUCAGGAAACAGGGAUAAGGGUAAUCGGUUUAUUGCUCCCAGAGAGAUGCAGGCAACUAUACAGGUCCAACAGGCAGGUAAACGUGGUCGAAGAAACAGGCAAUAGUUCCAGGUACACGAGAAGACAAAACAAGAGAACGCUGGAAAGUGAGUCGACAUGGAGCUACAACAAUCGGGGGAGGGGAAGACAACUAGACACAGGUGAGAAACAUCAGAGUGAAGACUGGCAAUCAACAGGCAGGAAUGGUAAAUGGUAAUGGUAAAUGGCCUGUACUUGUAUAGCGCUUUUCUAGUCUUCUGACCACUCAAAGCGCUUCAACACUACACGACAUCAUUCACCCAUUCACACCCAUUCAUACACUGAUGACAGGAGAACCAUACACAGUGACACCUGCCAUCAGUAACUACCAUUCACACACUGUAGUCGCAGCUACAGGAGCAAUGUUGGGUGUCAUGUAAAGUGUCUUGCCCAAGGACACAACGACAUGCGGGUUAGCCGGGCCUGGGAUCGAAGCCACAACCCUCUGAUUGGAGGACGACCGUGCUCCCCACUCACCCACAGUCGCCCGUGACGUGACGUGAAUAGGGACGAAGACAAGUGACGUGAAUAGGGACGAACAGUGGGUGGAAAAUAAGACAGGAAGUGCAUGGAAACAGACGGAAAACACAAUAAGAGCAGAGGAUGAUCUUACAGUUUUUACAGGUCUUUUCACUUAAUACCCCACUUAAAUAUAAAAUAAAAAUGUGUCUAAGUGUCUCCUAUCAAAGUCAUUUAAAAUGUGAUGCUUUAGCCUACACCAACACUCAUUUUAAUACUAAUUAAAAACAAAGAAACAUUGCGUUUUGCUCAGCCAACAGAAAGAAGGCAAAGGCCCGAAAAACAGAUGGAGGGCCACCUCCACCACCUCUGACAGAGCCUGAGGAGCUGGCCCUCAGCCUAAACAGUGGUUGCCCGGUGGCUGAAGGUAUCCCUGGGGGAAGCUCUUCUGAACCUGUCACCCCCCAGGACACAAGUGACUACAUCAGAUGUAUAGAAGUAUACACUUCUUUUAAAAAACAUUUUCAAAAGUUUGGGGUCACCCAGACAAUUUCGUGUUUUCCAUGAAAAGUCACUUUUAUUUAUCAAAUGAGUUGGAAAAAUGAAUUGAAAAUAUAGUCACAAUAUUGACAAGAUUAGAAAUAAUGAUUUUUAUUUGAAAUAUUCAUUUUGUUCUUCAAACUUUGCCUUUGUGUGAAAGGAUUUUCUAUUAGUCCCCUUCAUCGAGUGCAGGCGCAGUAAUAGGAAUAUGUGUCCCAUCUAUGCAUCAUUUCACAUUUGGAAGCCCUGCAAAAUGACAGCUAAUUAAGCUUCUGAGGUCACAGCAGAAUGUACAUCAUAAUUUAAAAAAAUAUAAUAUAUGAUUUCUCACCUGCAAUCCUGUGGAAUUCCUCUUUGAUGGUUGUAAGAGGUUUGUGUCCGGGAAACACCACCAUCACGGGUAACAGGUGUUUCAGUGCGAGGGGAACUUUCCUCACAGCUCUACAAACUGGUGCCUUGCCAAAGUGCUCUGCAUCCCUGAUGUUGUAAAGAAAACUACCAUUUGCAAAAAAACGUAGCGCGACGCAUAAGAUUUGCUCCAAUGUGAGUGCACGUCCGCGGUGUGUGAGGUUGGUGAUAUACGGCCGGAGAAUGUCAGUGAGAUAAAUGAUACCUUGUGAGGAAAAGCGGGAGCGUUCUAACAGAAAUUCCUCUGGAAAUGAUAAAGCAUCUAAUCUGGGUCGGAAGACUCUCUCGCGAUGUAAAGCAUUUCGAAUCACUAAGGCUUCGAUGUCCAUUGGAUUCGGUAGGAAUGGGCAAUCCAUGUCUACCAGCUUUCUUCAUGUGGGAGGAGACAGUAAACGCCGGGUUUCUUAUAGUAAACCUGCCAGCGAGCAGGUUACGUUCACAGAGUCUGUUACCAUGGUGAUUGACUGAGAGUUUCAGUUACCUCUCUAUCUGGAACGGAUAACUCAGAGUCUUCCUGAUCUCAGGGUUAACUUACUCUGAGUUUUCACAUAACCCGCUUUCUGGAAUACCCCCCAGGUGUCACUGUGUAUGGUUCUCCUGUCAUUAGUGUCCCUUUUUUCCCUCUUGGAAGGGUUUUUUCAUUUUUUGGGGAGUUUUUCCUGUGCCGAUGGUGGGUUUUGGGGCAGAGGAUGUUGUAUGUGUACAGACUGUAAAGCCCUCUGAGGCAAAUUUGUAAUUUGCGAUUAUGGGCUAUACAAAAUAAAAUGAAUUCAAUCAGUGUAUGAAUGGGUGUGAAUGGGUGAAUGAUGUCAUGUAGUUUUAAAGCGCUUUGAGUGGUCAGAAGACUAGAAAAGCGCUGUACAAGUACAGGCCAUUUACCAUUUACCAUUCAUGGUGGAAUGCACUUAUUGUAAGUCGCUUUGGAUAAAAGCGUCAGCUAAAUGACAUGUAAUGUAAUGUAAUGUAAUGUAUAGGAAAAUUGGUGGAGUUGGUGGAGACCAACACCCAAGCUAAAAGAACACAUUUGGACACAUUUGUCAGGUUGAACACCUAAGAGAUUUCGUGGAAAUUGCUGGAACCUGAAAAAGUGUGUCUUAGCUGAGAAAGGAUUUGCUUGUAUGCAUGCGCGUGAGAUUGCACUUAGAAUUAUUUUUCUGAAAUUGUUAAAUACAGACAAAAACUGAUUUGUUCUUGUGUGGGUUUUAUAUCCAAUAUGUCAAUAAUCAUUGUGUUUUAGAUGUCCAUCCUGUGCGUCCUAAGAAUAAACAAAUGUCAGUAAUGUUGUUGUUGUUGUGCUCUGUACAGUGUUUGUUUUUCAUCUCCUCACGGAACAAAAUGUAACCUGUUUGUCUGCUGGCUCGUUGGUUAUACUGGAGAUGGAACAGGUACCUGCUACGGUCAGCUGGCCUAAAAGAGUGACCAGUAUGACAGUAUGAACUGUCACAUGCGACAAACUGUAUUCUCCCAAUUGCAUGCUGAACAAAAUCAGAAUCUAUGUUGUUGCUGUUAGAUUUAGUUCCUGCCUGUUAGUGAGUGAUGUUUCAUUGCACGGGUCUGCAAUAUGGCACAGUUUUGCUGGAUUAAAUUAUCCCGUUGUUAUGUUUUUUUAUUUAACUAUGAUAUACACUAUGCACUAACCUUCAUGCACACACGACUGGAUUCCAACAAAAAACAGCAACCCACAAACUCAUCACGCACAUGCAAGUAUCCACAUUGAAAAAUGCUCUGGCAUGGCUGGAAUAGAUAAUGCCUCCAUAUCCCCUCGACACCCCCCCACAUCUCCCCACCUCCGCUGCAGUGACGCGUGUGUUGCAGGAAUCCCCUCCUGGCUCUCGUUCACGUCUUUAAGCAGCCGUUCGCUGUGGUCUGGCAGCGGGGCCCUGCGACAUUUCUUCCUUGUCAGGGCUGUUGCGCCAUAACAAGCUGAGCAGUGGAUUUACUGCAGGAGCUUCUUUGUAGACCAGCCAGGCUAAUGGACAAGGGGCCAGCACUGGAAAAUACCCUACAUUUUGCUGAAAAAAAACCCUCUUUUGACACGCCUGCAACUCUUCAGGGAUCGUGGAAGCCGUGAGGGAGCCCGGCCUGGCUCAUGUUCUGCGCCGGUGUAUGCGUAGAAUGUACAGUUGGGUCUGAAUGAAUGAAUGUGUGUGUGGUUGAUGAGGGAGGAUGUGAGCUCUGGAGACAAAUUAACUGCUUGGCUAAACUCUCUCUCUCUCUGUGUGUUUGAGCAUCGUUUCCCCUGGUAACGGUAAAAACAUGUGUACUCUUUUUCUUAACAUAAAAAUUGAGCACUGGCAGGGGAACUAUGCGUGUGAGUGUGUUGGUCCGUAACCCUGUGCAGGCACAGCAGUGAGCUCAUAUGGAGUUGAUUUGACCGCACUCUCCGGAAUGACGGCAGGAAUGACUGCCAUGAAGAUGAUGAAAUGAUGACGGCUUAACUUGAAAUCACUUAGUUCCUGCUCUGGAGCGAUGAGCAGUGGCGGUUAACACCCUUCAGCUGUGACGCUGGCCUUCUGACGUCCUUGCAAUCCAUGAAAACAGAGUUCACCCUUCAUUACGUCUUUCUUAAAUGGAUGGAAAGCAUUUUGGACAGCAUGUAAGUCCAUGUAACAAAUAACUCUCCAUAAAGGUUGCAUUGUGACACAUUGGAGAGGCAGUGGGCGGGGUCAAGUCUAACCAUGUGCAUUGUAUGUCAAAGGCCCUUAUUGCUGCAGUCCUUAAAGGUUUAGAUGCACUGUAAUUAUUACGUUGAUUCCUUUUGUGCAUGUCCUAAAUAAUCAAUUUAGCUUUUUCUUAAAAAUAUCACCUUUUAUAAUGUGUUACUUGGUGUUUGUUAAGUAAAUGUUAUCAUUCACACCAAGUAAUAUCUGCUAAACCAGAGGUUUUCAACAGGGGGUCCCGAGGGGUACCGCAUGGGGGCGUCGCAAAAUUUUUGGUUGAUAAGACCUUUUUUUUUUUUCAACCGAUUUUUUCCCCACAAAUUGAAAGAUUUUCACAAUCAAAAUCAGAAUUGUAUUUAUUGUCUUUAAAUACACAUUAAGAUGAAUCCAACAUAUUGAACCGGAUGGUUAAUUGAUGAUAACCAUAAUUGAAAAUAAAAGAUGGCAGACCAAACUCCGUAGAAUCCCAGGUCAAAAGUUUUGUUCAUUUGAAAAACGAAUGUGAACCGGAAAGUUUAAGUUUUGUUGUUGAACAUUGCAAAAUACAAUAAUGUAUUCAAAAUAAAAAUAAUUGGACGAUAAAUAUUUUUGGGAUGAAUAUAGUUUUGACUCGCUCUAUAUAUUUUUUGAAUAACAUUUCUUUUUUUAAUCUUCACUUACAUAUUUUUUUGGAUAUUUACUGUAUUAUUUUUUUGGUUGCAGAUUUCAUAUUUUCAGAUUCUAAACUUAUAUUUUCAUUUUCCGAUUUUUUUUUCUCACAUUCACACUUUUGACCCUGAUGUGGUGUAGGGGGCGGGGCAUCAACUAGGAGGGGCGUGUAAUCAUGAGUGACAGCUUUCUCAACCGCAUUGCCUUGAGGAGACGUAGGCAUGCAAGACUUAAGAAUCAACCCUUUUUUGUCUUGAUGUCUUCCAGUCAGGACCUUCAACAGCAAAAUUUUAGUACAACCAUAUGUCUGACACUGAAUUGUUGCAAUUUUUGAAGGAGUUCCCCUUUUAAAAACACCAAAACCUAACAUGUUACUGAUGAUACUGAUAGUAAUAUUCCAAUCUUAAGGCAGUAUAAGAUAUUGCAAAAUAUGUCAUUAGCUUAAUGUCGCCACCCACAUCAUUCUCCCAUUCAGCUUGAUGCUGCUUCCCCCUGACUCCAUGAAACGAAACCAAAUGUAAAGUUAAUUCAUAAUCACAUCACAAAACAAAAGGAGAAAAGCAAUACAGUUCGGAUUCUUUGUGUAAUUAUUUUGAAUGUUUGUAACAUUACUGACUUAGUGAUAUUUCAGCUUCAUAAAUUUUCUAAUUGAGCUCACUUUGAUCCAUUUUUGCUUAUAAUAUGAAGUAUAGCGCAGUGGCUUCCGCUAACAUGAGCUGGUCGGUUGAGAUAUUUGUUAUAUAUGUAUUUUGGUACGUUGAGGUUCAUAAGUAACAAUACAUGCACCCAAGGGAAUUCAGGCGAUGGGAAGAGCCUGGUUCAGGGGUGGUAUCACAAUUAUGAUGUGAUGGUAUAUAUGAAAUCCUAGUUGGCCCAUACAUUAUGAAGGGAUAUGCUGAGCCGCAUAAGAUAUAUCAGAUGUGUCCUCCAAAUCGGCUGCGGCGGCUCAGCGGGAACGGGAGAGCGCUGCGGCAGGCCCAGCGGCAACGGGAGAGCGCUGCGGCAGGCCCAGCGGCAACGGGAGAGCGCUGCGGCAGGCCCAGCGGCAACGGGAGAGCGCUGCGGCAGGCCCAGCGGGAACGGGAGGUCGGUGCUUCCUAUUGCCAGGGCUCCUCCUGGGAUUUAGGAGAUCCCGGAGCUCGAGGCAGGCCCUCUGAUAGCUCUUGGGACCGAAUACAAAGUUUGUCUUCCGCUGCCAGAACGGGCUCCUAACAUCCACGUAGUCAGGUCCGUAGUCUGGCAGCGGGUCUGCUGAGUCCCUUCGUGGUCACGUCAUUCUGUCGGGGAUGCGUGGGAGGAAGGCAGGACUCAAGCGCAGACUUCUUAAACAAAAGCAACUUUAAUCGUCCAAAGGGCAAAAGCAAAAGGCCAACAGGCAAAAACGCACACAAACCAGGGGAAAAACAGAAGGCAGGAACUACGAACAUCCACGACGAUAGACAAUGGCGCAACAAGUGACAGGAGACACACACCGCUUAAAUACACUAGGGAGGUGCCGGUGAUUGGACACAGGUGGAAAGAAUCAGACAAUCACAGACGAUGAGAGGACAAGGCAGGAAGUGAAGUUACCCAGGGAGACAAGAAGCAGAAAACUACAAAAUAAGACAGGAAAUACAACCACACCGUGACACCUUGACUCACUAUUGACCAGUUCACAUUCUUCACAUCCUCCACAAAACAUCCACAUCUUCUUGUAAGUGCUUGUAUGACCUUUUGUAUGAAAUCCGACAGGCUGCUAUUGAGACUUUACUUUUUAUUUAAAGUGCUGUUACAAUUUGAUCACUGAAACCAAGAACUACUGAUACUGCUUUCGAGCGCUGUUCGAGGGUAUUUAUAAAAAUUACAAAUCAUGCCGGAACAGAUGUAAUCACGAGACAAACAGAUAUUCAACAACUCAGAGUCUCUUAGAUUGUUCUGUGUCUUGCUGUAAUAGCCUGGCUGUAUACAUUAUUCUCUUAAGAUUCAUGAGAUAUUUCGCUUUCUCUUAAUGAGCCUUCCCGAUCUUUAUCUCUGAAAUGAAAGCAUCUGUCGGGGUAAAUGAAAAGGCGAGGGAGGAGCCGUGAUUCAUGUUGGUCAUUGAUGUUUUUCUCUGUCAUUGGUCAGCACUCCUUCACUGCUCGCUGACGCUCCGUUGUAUUGCUCUGAAAACAAUGAGACAUCAAACAAGAUGUAAGAGGGAGAAAAGGUCUGAGACCUGAGAAGUUUUGCAAGGCGGUUAAUUAUGUUUCACUCUGUUGCUAAAUCAUGAUUCAGUCUGUUGCUAAAUAUCAUAUUACAGGUAUUUAUCUGGUUUUUGCAGCCUUUUAAUUCGUUAUUAAAUAGGAGCUGUGAAUCACUGCUGUGCUUAUUGGCCUGGAGUCUACCGCUAAAAAGCACUGUUUCGCUCAGUGACCAUUUUAAUUGAGUUACCUUUGAAGAAUUUGUGCCUCGUCUGAAAGGAAAAGUCUUUUUUCUGGAUGCACGAGAUAAUCAGAAACCGACAUGCUGCCUGAAUAGUGGAAUAUGGAUAAGGCAGUUUCUCUGUUUGAUUUUUUUUAACAUAUUGUGAAUAUGACAAAACUAGGAUAAGUUUUAAUAAAAGUAUUGUGCAUAAUUAACAUGAUUGAUAUUCAAUGAUCCGUCAUUGAUAGAUGUCACCUCAGCAGGGCUGCAGCUCCAUCCAUUACUGCAUGGUGGCUGCUGUCUGCAGAGUCCUCCUUCAAUACUGGACCAAUUAAAAAAAAAUCUAUUCCAGAUUAGUCACACAAAACAUGGAAAUAUGCUCCAGGUUGAGCACAACCAUUUAUUAGUCUGUUGCUUGACAGUUCAUGUGUAUAUGUGUGUUUUUGUUUCCAAGCUGAGUGUGUCUUGCAGGAAGGCUCUGGCGGCAGUCUAGACGACUGAUCCCCCAUCCGUCCACUCCCAGGAUCCAAAAGUCCAAAAUAUUGCAUCACUUUAAUGUGUCCUCAAAAGUGGUUGACAUUGUCUGACGAAAGAAAAGGAGCGGCCCACUGAAGCUUGAUCAAAGACAUUCUAUGAGCCCAAGUUCCCCUGUGUAUUUUUCAGUUUCACAGAAAAUGUUUGCUUGAUUCUCACUAUAACUACGUAGUGACAAUAAAGUAUACUAUAACAUAGAUUAAUUUGAAAUGUCAGCUCUCAUUUUGGGAAUUACCUGUAAGCAUCUACUUAGACAUGAGUUGGUUUCACCAUACAAGUAGGCUGCCUUCAUGUGUUGAACUUUAAGUACCUCCCCUCCCCUAGAACCCAAUAAAGACACUUAAUAAGGUUUAAAUCAAAGCAAGGGAACCUGAACUGGUUUCAAACAGGACACAAGCGACCACAUUGGUGAAAGUCAAGUGAGUGACCCCCCCGAACCGUCCACGCUGACUUCCUCCCUUACGGCCAUCAAACCACUUCAUAGGUAAAUUGAUCCCAGUUCUGGCUUCUGGUAGAAAAUCGGGGGCACUUAAUGCAAACAUUAAUGCAUACAUUCAAUACAUUCAGUAUGCAUUAAGUGCUCAAUCUAGUUAUUGAUGAAACAUUCUCUGCUGAUAGAAAGGCUUAAAUAUGUACUGCAGCAUGGGAAUAAUAAAACAAACCUGAACCACUAAAACAACAUUAUUGUUGAGUUUCAUCAUGGAGCACUGGAGCUAAUUACCACUAAGGAAGCAGAGUGAUGUUCUUUUUCAUUAAAGACUAACUUAACAAAGAAGAAUACGUCUGUAAAACUCUGUCACAUCUGCUCUUUUCUCCCUUGAAUAACACUAUUACAAGAGCAGGUCCGGUUGCUCACAUGGCGUCGCGGCAUCGUGGGAUUGGACUCAGUGAGCUGGUGACAUUUAUAAAUUAUAAUGGUAAAGAGAGCAUUACUAGUUAAACCACAGGUACGCUUGCAAUGCAGACAGUAGAUGAUUGGUACCUCUUCUGGCUUUGUCCCAUCGGCGGGACCCGCUGAGGUCUGCUGGGGAGCUUUGUGACAGAAAUAUGCUGCAGCUCGUGGGAAUCUACUCCUGACGGAAUGUGGCCAUGCGGAAGAACUCGGGAAUCCUAAACAUGCUGCUUACCUGUACGGUGCAGCCAGCAAGAAAAGACUGCAAAGCACGACAAUAGAAAAGACCUGAACAAGCUGUGUUACUCUCACUCCAUGUUCAUAUGAGAAGGAAACACAAAGACAAAGUCUAUUGAUUCUGUUGACCCAGCUAGAGGUCCUCAACUGAAAGAGCGGUCAAGGGUUCUGUUUCUACUCCAUACUCCAGUGGGAACAUGGAGCAUAUUGACUUUAAUGGACUUAUUAGCACAUGUUGGGGGAAAUAAUAUUGUCUCAGCGUACUUCAAAGACUAGAAAGGGAGUCCGGUUUCAGCAGUCUGACUGUUGGUGCCGUUGUGGUAUCAGGGAAGGCAGCAUGAGAGAGGAUCGAUGAAAAGAGUAAGGGAAUCCAUAGUGGCCACUCUAUUCAAACAAGAAUACAAAAAGUACAGCGUACUGUAGAAAAAUAAAUGAGAUCAAGCUUUAUCCCCCGUGGGACACCAGAGUUGAGAGGGGAACAGAACAAUCUUUGGACUGUUGUGCAACCACUUGAAUGCAGUUCUUAAUGAGCCUUUUAGUAAGCUAUUAUAAUUAAUAGUAAAAUGAAGCACUGACAUGAAUCCAUAGACGGGAAUAGAGGAAACCAAGAGAGCCAUUGACCUGAAUUGAUCUUGAUCUAUACAAACUUUACUUUUAAAUCUGGGGAAAAUCUCUACAGCCAGCCUGCAUGGAAUAGUGUAUAGACACUGAGUGUUUGUGUGUGUGCUGUUGGGAUGGGGGGUGGAUCAGACUAGUUGGGGUCUCAGCCCCAGAGCAGCGGUGACUUUAUUAAACAAACCUGAUGGUCGGAAUUUGUUUUCUGUAGCCCCUUCUCCUAACUCCACCUGCUGUCUGGGAAUGUUCACCAGCUGUGGGAACACACUCACAAACACACACAUACGUGGUGAUAAUGAAUAUAAAGGGUCCGAGGUUUACAGGCAACAUGAAACAUGAAGAUUUUCUUCAUCCAAUCUAGUUGUUAUGUGUAUAUAGGACGUGAUCGGUGUUCUGACUAGUCCUCAAUGUUGGUGAAUUCAAAACCAAUCACCCACAAAACCAAACUCAUCACAUUCCAUAUUCUGUAUGUACUCUAAUAUGAAAGCGUUUUUACAGUAUUUUACUGUUUUACCCCAGUAUUCCCAGGUACAAGGCUAAGUUGUGUCAAUGUUGUUUCCCCAGGCCUGCUUGUAUAUUCAGGGAGCAGUUGCCUGAAGAACAGUAAAAACAAACACAUUCCUGUGCAGUUGUAACAGGUGUGUGCAGCUACUGGUAGCUUGGUAGGAAGGCCAGUGCCUCCAUAGCAGUGUCACAACCUGCAAACACUGGUAGCCAGUGUGUUUUCCAUCAGGAGACUGUGAUAGCACAGGAGAAAUCGGCUCUUUGAUCCCAGCGCUGCUCGACCUCUUAGUGUUAUGUUCCCCCUAAGAGCGCUGAGAGGCGCUGAGAGGCAAGGUCGGAGGUAAAGAAUUACAUGUGCAAGGGUUGUCUAGCACCUUUUUUGUAAAAAAAAUUUUUUUCAAUAUUACAAUUCUACCUUGUUGCUUAGAUGUGUACUGAUGUGAGUAGUAACGUUGAAACAUGUGUUUUAAUAUAGUUAAAAGAGACAGAGACACAGAAAGGACUGGUUAUGGUGAGACAGAGACACAGAGAGGACUGGUUAUGGUGAGACAGAGACACAGAUAGGACUGUUUAUGGUGAGACAGAGACGCAGAGAGGACUGUUUAUGGUGAGACAUAGACGCAGAGAGGACUGGUUAUAGUGAGAGAGACGCAGAGAGGACUGGUUAUGGUGAGACAGAGACACAGAGAGGACUGGUUAUGGUGAGAUAGAGACACAGACAGAAGACUGGUUAUGGUGAGACAGAGACACAGAGAGAAGACUGGUUAUAGUGAGACAUUGGUUUAAACAUAAACCAAUGGGAACAGACUGAGAAGAGCAGCUUGUGCAUCCCAUUCUCUUCAUCUCUGCCACUAACUCAAGGUGGCACAGUAAGUUUUAAUUAUAAAACCAUUUACUACAUGCAUGGCGAGGAAAUGAUAGAAGCAGACGAUGUCUAACCCAGAUGUUUGUUCCAGUGUCAGUCUUGAGGAAUGUACGCAGUUGCCACAGGUCUAAACACUGCCCACUCUCUGUGGUGAGGAAGGGUUUAGAUUCCCAUUACAGGAUAUGUGUGUGUCUGGCCUAGAGUUCCCUCUGUGUGUAUGUCUGCAUAUGGCAUUAUUGCCAACUACUAACCCACUCCUGUCUGGUGUGAGGCGUGACUCAACGCACACAAACACAUACUCGAACACACAAAUAACACUUCUAGAACGGCGCAAUUCAUGCGCAUCAAACCUAAUAUAAGAUUAUCGUAGUAAAAUAUAACCAAUACCAUUAAAUUAGUAAUGCAGAAAUUGUGUUUGUGUGAGCCAUUGACCAGAAUUGAUCUUGAUCUAUACAAACUUUACUUUUAAAUCUGGGGAAAAUCUCUACAGCCAGCCUGCAUGAAAUAGUGUAUAGACAGUGUGUGUUUGUGUGUGUGCUGUUGGGAUGGGGGUGGAUCAGACUAAUUGGGGUCUCAGCCCCAGAGCAGCGGUGACUUUAUUAAACAAACCUGAUGGUCGGAACACAAAUAUAUAUAUAUAUAUAUAUAUAUAUAUAUAUAUAUAUAUA